GAUGAAGAACGCAGCGAAAUGCGAUAAGUAGUGUGAAUUGCAGAAUUCAGUGAAUCAUCGAAUCUUUGAACGCACAUUGCGCCCCUUGGUAUUCCAUGGGGCAUGCCUGUUCGAGCGUCAUUUGUACCUUCAAGCUCUGCUUGGUGUUGGGUGUUUGUCUCGCCUCUGCGUGUAGACUCGCCUCAAAACAAUUGGCAGCCGGCGUAUUGAUUUCGGAGCGUAGUACAUCUCGCGCUUUGCACUCAUAACGACGACGUCCAAAAGUACAUUUUUACACUCUUGACCUCGGAUCAGGUAGGGAUACCCGCUGAACUUAAGCAUAUCAAUAAGCGGAGGA
This 337-nucleotide unclassified non-coding RNA is filed under the name soil metagenome. RNAcentral's name for it is "partial contains 5.8S ribosomal RNA, internal transcribed spacer 2, and large subunit ribosomal RNA". The stretch from base 1 to 120 matches the Rfam family "5.8S ribosomal RNA", at positions 35 to 154 of the family's 154-position model. The record is from RNAcentral.